AUACGGAGGACGCGAGCGUUAUCCGGAUUCAUUGGGUUUAAAGGGUGCGCAGGCGGCCGUGCAAGUCAGCGGUGAAAGCCCGGGGCUCAACCCCGGAAGUGCCGUUGAUACUGCAUGGCUGGAAUGCGGUCGAGGCGGGCGGAACGGGGCGUGUAGCGGGGAAAUGCGUGGAUAUGGCACAGAACGCCGAUAGCGGAGGCAGCUCGCCAGGCCUGCAUUGACGAUCGGGCACGAAAGCGUGGGGAUCGAACAGGAUUAGAUACCCUGGUAGUCCACGCCGUAAACGAUGGGCGCUCGUCGUCGGCGGCAGACAGUCGGCGGCCAAGCGAAAGCGAUAAGCGCCCCACCUGGGGAGUACGGUCGCAAGAAUGAAACUCAAAUGAAUUGACGGGG
RNAcentral lists this ribosomal RNA (393 nucleotides) under uncultured bacterium. RNAcentral describes it as "partial 16S ribosomal RNA". It matches the Rfam family "Bacterial small subunit ribosomal RNA", at positions 523 to 918 of the family's 1533-position model. The record is from RNAcentral.